CGAGGAAUAAGCCCCGGCCAAUUACGUGCCAGCAGCCGCGGUAACACGUAAGGGGCGAGCGUUGUGCGGAAUUAUUGGGCGUAAAGGGCGUGUAGGUGGUUAGAUAAGCCUGGUGUUAGAAUCUCUGGCUCAACCAGAGUCGUGCGCUGGGAACUGUGAGACUAGAGUCCAGGAGGGGAAGCUGGAAUUCCUGGUGUCGGGGUGACAUCUGUAGAUAUCAGGAAGAACACCGGUGGCGAAGGCGAGCCUUCUAGCCAUGGACUGACGCUUAGGCGCGAAAGCGUGGGGAGCGAACAGGAUUAGAUACCCUGGUAUUCCACGCUGUAAUCGAUGUGCACUGGGCGUAGGAUUCUUAUAGGAUUCUGUGCCGUAGCAUAACGCGUUAAGUGCACCGCCUGGGGAGUAUGCUCGCAAGGGUGAAACUCAAAGGAAUCGACGGGGGCCCGCACAACCGGUGGAGCAUGUGGUUUAAUUCGAUGAUACGCGAGGAACCUUACCAGGGUUUGACAUGCACCUGGAGCUCGCAGAGAUGUGGCAGCUCUCGUUUAGAGGCGGGUACACAGGUGAUGCAUGGCAGUCGUCAGCUCGUGUCGUGAGAUGUUGGGUUAAGUCCCGCAACGAGCGCAACACCAGCUGUCUGUUGCUAACAGGUAAUGCUGAGGACUCAGGCAGGAACUGCCGCUGACAAACCGGAGGAAGGUGGGGACGACGUCAAAGUCAUCAUGGCCCUUAUGUCCUGGGCUACACACGUGCUACCAUGGUCAGGUACAGAAUGUUGCGAGACGCCGACGUUGAGCUAAUCACCCAAAGCCGUCCUUAAGUUCGGAUUGGAGUCUGCAACUCGACUCCAUGAAGUUGGAAUCGCUAGUAAUCGCGCAUCAGCAUGGCGCGGUGAAUAUGUUCCCGGGCCUUGUACACACCGCCCGUCACACC
This 933-nucleotide ribosomal RNA is filed under the name uncultured organism. Its description in RNAcentral is "bacterial SSU rRNA". It matches the Rfam family "Bacterial small subunit ribosomal RNA", at positions 480 to 1403 of the family's 1533-position model. The record is from RNAcentral.